RNAcentral lists this ribosomal RNA (405 nucleotides) under Speocera taprobanica. RNAcentral describes it as "partial large subunit ribosomal RNA". It matches the Rfam family "Bacterial large subunit ribosomal RNA", at positions 1908 to 2601 of the family's 2925-position model. Lineage: Eukaryota; Metazoa; Arthropoda; Arachnida; Araneae; Ochyroceratidae. The record is from RNAcentral.
CCUGCUCAAUGCCAUAUAAAUAGCCGCUAAACGUGCUAAGGUAGCAUAAUAAAUUGCCAUUUAAUUAAAGGACUGUAUGAAAGAAAGCACGCUUUAUUAACUAUCUUUAAACAAAACCAACAAAUUUCCAGUAUAUGUAAAAACCCAAUUAAAAACUAACAGGACGACAAGACCCUGCUGAACUUAUACUUCAAGUUAAACUGGGGCGGUAGCAAACAAAAUCUUUUCUACAACCACCAAUAAAAGCUAACCAUAGAAUAAAUACAAGUUACCACAGGGAUAACAGCAUAAUAAUUUAAUAAAGCCCUCAUAAAAUAAAUUGAUUAUGACCUCGAUGUUGAAUUAAUGCCCUAUAAGUAGAAAAAAAUAAUAAAGGAAGUCUGUUCGACUUAUAACCCAUUACAU